Molecule: long non-coding RNA, 489 nt
Organism: Hydractinia symbiolongicarpus
Lineage: Eukaryota; Metazoa; Cnidaria; Hydrozoa; Anthoathecata; Hydractiniidae
Exons: 3
Source: RefSeq, a predicted model, not a curated record
UUUAGAAAUUAAAGUAAUGACUUGAAACUUUGCAGGAUAUGAUUUUGGACUGGUCUAAUAAAAGAAGAGUCAAGAUGACACGUUACAAAUAGAUUGUCUCGUCAAAUUUACUGAAAAAAGAGGUUCGACAACCGUGACUCGGCAGAGUAUAAAAGAGAAGAAACUCGACAGAGUAUAAAAGCUAGUUAUUCAGAACAUUCAGACAUUCAGAAUUAAUUAAACUUACUGCACCUUGAACUUGAAUUUACUUAUCGGUUAACUUAAUAGUGAAUUAAUAGUGAAAUUAUUGGUGGACUUGAUAGUGAACUUAUCGGUGAAUUUAAUAGUGAAUUUAUUGGUGAAAUUACAAAAUGACAGAGGUUUCUCUAGCUUUUAAGAUUUUUUUUCUCGAUCACACGUUACCACCGCUAAUAUGAACCCCGCAUAUAAAAGCUGUUGCCGUAUGGUACUUUUACUUUCUAAUGAUGUUGAAACUAAUCAUGGGCCUUG